GAUGAACGCUGGCGGCGUGCCUAAUACAUGCAAGUCGAGCGAACGGACGAGAAGCUUGCUUUUCUGAUGUUAGCGGCGGACGGGCGAGUAACACGUGGAUAACCUACCUAUAAGACUGGGAUAACUUCGGGAAACCGGAGCUAAUACCGGAUAAUAUUUUGAACCGCAUGGUUCAAAGGUGAAAGACGGUCUUGCUGUCACUUAUAGAUGGAUCCGCGCUGCAUUAGCUAGUUGGUAAGGUAACGGCUUACCAAGGCAACGAUGCAUAGCCGACCUGAGAGGGUGAUCGGCCACACUGGAACUGAGACACGGUCCAGACUCCUACGGGAGGCAGCAGUAGGGAAUCUUCCGCAAUGGGCGAAAGCCUGACGGAGCAACGCCGCGUGAGUGAUGAAGGUCUUCGGAUCGUAAAACUCUGUUAUUAGGGAAGAACAUAUGUGUAAGUAACUGUGCACAUCUUGACGGUACCUAAUCAGAAAGCCACGGCUAACUACGUGCCAGCAGCCGCGGUAAUACGUAGGUGGCAAGCGUUAUCCGGAAUUAUUGGGCGUAAAGCGCGCGUAGGCGGUUUUUUAAGUCUGAUGUGAAAGCCCACGGCUCAACCGUGGAGGGUCAUUGGAAACUGGAAAACUUGAGUGCAGAAGAGGAAAGUGGAAUUCCAUGUGUAGCGGUGAAAUGCGCAGAGAUAUGGAGGAACACCAGUGGCGAAGGCGACUUUCUGGUCUGUAACUGACGCUGAUGUGCGAAAGCGUGGGGAUCAAACAGGAUUAGAUACCCUGGUAGUCCACGCCGUAAACGAUGAGUGCUAAGUGUUAGGGGGUUUCCGCCCCUUAGUGCUGCAGCUAACGCAUUAAGCACUCCGCCUGGGGAGUACGACCGCAAGGUUGAAACUCAAAGGAAUUGACGGGGACCCGCACAAGCGGUGGAGCAUGUGGUUUAAUUCGAAGCAACGCGAAGAACCUUACCAAAUCUUGACAUCCUUUGACAACUCUAGAGAUAGAGCCUUCCCCUUCGGGGGACAAAGUGACAGGUGGUGCAUGGUUGUCGUCAGCUCGUGUCGUGAGAUGUUGGGUUAAGUCCCGCAACGAGCGCAACCCUUAAGCUUAGUUGCCAUCAUUAAGUUGGGCACUCUAAGUUGACUGCCGGUGACAAACCGGAGGAAGGUGGGGAUGACGUCAAAUCAUCAUGCCCCUUAUGAUUUGGGCUACACACGUGCUACAAUGGACAAUACAAAGGGCAGCGAAACCGCGAGGUCAAGCAAAUCCCAUAAAGUUGUUCUCAGCUCGGAUUGUAGUCUGCAACUCGACUACAUGAAGCUGGAAUCGCUAGUAAUCGUAGAUCAGCAUGCUACGGUGAAUACGUUCCCGGGUCU
This 1372-nucleotide ribosomal RNA is filed under the name uncultured bacterium. Its description in RNAcentral is "bacterial SSU rRNA". It matches the Rfam family "Bacterial small subunit ribosomal RNA", at positions 28 to 1381 of the family's 1533-position model. The record is from RNAcentral.